UAAAGCUGGGAGCAGUGAAACAGAGGAAGGGCUUAUGGUGGAAGAAGCACCAGGAGAGAGAUUAGGCAGUGCUCUGCUUUGGCUCCCUGGAAAUGUUCUGGAAAGGAGUGAGCCACACAGGGCUGCAUGGAGUCACUGAGAAGUAGAAGUCACAGUGACAGAAGUGAGUCGAGGUGGGGCGGCUGCUUUGGCUCACUGAAAAGUCAGAGAAAAGGGGACAUUGGAGGUAUUUCUUGUUGAAUUACUCAUCCUAGAGCUCAAAUUCCAUAUUAUGUCCCAUGCAGAGUUGAUCACUUCCUUCAAUAUGCCAUGAAACUACCUGAAAAGUUUAAUGUCUUUAAAUCCAGAAGGCAAGUGCUGGUCAAGCAACGACCAGUAUGUGGAGAACGUGCUGAGCUUGCACGGGGCCAGGGCAGCAUGAGGCUGCGGCAGAGGUGCCCGGUCUCAGGAGAGCACGAUUGUCCACCGGGCUCAGAGUGUGUCAGGAGCUGCUGAUGGUUCAGACAUUUUGUAUCUGUUUAUCCAUGUGCCCCCAUCGGCCUUCCAUCUCCCGAGCUGAAAAUGCCCUUUUCUCCAUCACGGCAAUUUCACAGCGAGCUUUCUCCUACCGGCUGGCACACCCCGCUGUUAGAGCACUCUCUGCCGUAGCCACCGCACCGGGUCCUCUGCCCGGAUGCAGCACCUUCACGUCUGCCCCCACUCUCCUCCUCUGAAGCCAUAGGUAGGUACGAAAUCCAAAAAUUUUGAAAUGAUUCUUGAAUGUAGUGACCAUCGUCAUUUUAUGACCUGGAAAUGUUUGAGGAAUAAUGUAAUUCUUCAGAACUGGAGGUUAAUGGUGUUGGACUUUUCCUGUGUUCCUUCCCAUCCUCACAUCAGCUGCUUCAUCACUCUUUAUUUAUAUUAUUGCGAGAGCCUCUGAUCAGAGCAGCCCACCUCCCUUCCCGCCCCCGGCAGUCCUUCCUCCUUUGGGCGGCCAAAGCAAUCUUCCUAAUCCACGUUCAGCUCCUGGCAUGUCCGUGCACGGCCCUCCCCUGGCUCCCGCUGCGUGUGGAAGACCAUCCUGAGAACCCUUUAGACCAAUCCGGCACACCCCCAACAUUCGUAGGACUGGAAUAAGAGUACAAAUAAGAUCUCUGGCUCACGCUUCUUUCCUUUGCACAGAAUCCAGAGCCAUUCAGGCAGUAGAAUUCCCUUCCAGCCCCUGAGCUGUCUUGCCAGCACCGCUGCUGGUCGCGGGCAUCCCCACAAGGGCCCAGUGAACACCUGUGUGAACACCCAGCCUAUAAUCAAGUAUGUCCAUAACCUUCCAGCCUCCACCUAACUCUGCCAUCCUUGAAUCAUAAAGGCUACUAUUGUUUUCCCCUUUAUGAGUUGGAAUAUUAUAUAAAGAAGAACCUUUCUAUUUUGUUUAUAUUAAAGUACAGUUUGUAUAGAAUUGGCAAAAUGAAUA
Molecule: long non-coding RNA, 1450 nt
Organism: Artibeus jamaicensis (Jamaican fruit-eating bat)
Lineage: Eukaryota; Metazoa; Chordata; Mammalia; Chiroptera; Phyllostomidae
Exons: 4
Source: RefSeq, a predicted model, not a curated record